RNAcentral lists this ribosomal RNA (253 nucleotides) under uncultured bacterium. RNAcentral describes it as "partial 16S ribosomal RNA". It matches the Rfam family "Bacterial small subunit ribosomal RNA", at positions 524 to 776 of the family's 1533-position model. The record is from RNAcentral.
UACGGAGGGUGCAAGCGUUAUCCGGAUUCACUGGGUUUAAAGCGUGCGUAGGCGGUUCGUUAAGUUCGUUGUGAAAGCCCCGGGCUCAACCUGGGAACUGCAAUGGAAACUGGCGGGCUUGAGUGUGGCAGAGGGGGGUGGAAUUCCGCGUGUAGCAGUGAAAUGCGUAGAGAUGCGGAGGAACACCGAUGGCGAAGGCAGCCCCCUGGGCCAACACUGACGCUCAGGCACGAAAGCGUGGGGAGCAAACAGG